This 2583-nucleotide long non-coding RNA is filed under the name Daucus carota (carrot). Its description in RNAcentral is "long non-coding RNA (DCAR_LNC001820)". The record is from RNAcentral. Lineage: Eukaryota; Viridiplantae; Streptophyta; Magnoliopsida; Apiales; Apiaceae.
AAUAUAUAAUAGACGUUCCAUAUUAAUUCAUAAUAUUAGUUCUGAAUUUAGCUUUUCCUAUAUUUAAUCAUGGCCUUAUAAUCUUUUGCAAUCUUAAAAACGGUUUUGCAAAUCAGAGAAUAUAAUAUAAAUCUAUAAUUUAUGCAUAAUUAAGAUGGUAAGGAAUUUAAAAUACAUAUUUAAUCAAUAUUUAUGUUGAUUGAAUAAAAAAUUGUAAGAUGGUAAGCAAACCAGGACUGGCCAUUUUCAACUCCCCGCUUCUAACAUCUUGCCACGCUCAGUGCAUGAUCCAAAGGCAAGUGCACAACACCUCCACAACCACGUUCAUCAGAGUAAGUACAAUUCAGACUGUACGAUUCAGUGAAGACACACGACUUGGAUAAUUGAUACAAAAUUUGUGGACCUCUUUGUACUUCAGGUAUUCGCAAUGAUGCUUCAAGGACAAUAAGCCUAAUUCAUAAUCACAGCAUUGACAGUACUUCAAAAGGGAAAGCGCAUAAUGGCGUUGAUUCGAGGUCUCAAAGUGGUAAGGAUGACGAUGUAACAGUGAUUGUUCCCGAGCCAGGACAGCUAGGUGUGAAAACUCCAGGUUUCUUAGAAAAUCUUCUCAUUAUGUUUAUGUAUUCCACCCUAUAAUUGGACAGCCUGUCACUGAGACAGUCUAAUAUAUACCUUAAAUAUGUGCAGAAUGGUUUCAGAGUGACUCACAACGUGGAGUCAGGAAUCUGAUGGAGUCCUUCAACUCAGCAUGUACAACCGAAGCCGGAACAUCAGCCACACGAGGAGCUCCACCUAUGACUGGCAACAAUUCAUCACAAACAGAAGAAGGUUCCCCGCAUUUCUACAAAUUAAACAAUCAGAUAAAAUCAGAACUAUACCUGGAGUUGUUGGAGUAUUUUCUUUAUCUGCUUGGGUUGGAUAGUUCAGUAAACCUUUUUUGAAAAGAGUGGAUACAUUCGGCCCACGGUGCCUGGGAACCGAACAUGAUUUCCCUUUUUCUGAAAAGUGUAAAUUGAAACCUUAAUAUUAGAUCUGCAUUGCAAUGCAAGGUCCACCCCAAUUCACAUACCACAUGUGCAGGUACUACUGGUAAACUACUCUUUAGAAAAUUUUAAUAAAAGAUUUAGUCUAUUCCUGUUUGAUAGUUAUUCCAAUACAGAGAAUGUUAAAACAGGCUUUCAUCUCUUCGUACCUCAUCCAAGAAACUGUCAAAAGGAUCUCCUGAUUUUAUUGCCGAGAUUGUGCCAAAGAGAAAUCAUUCUGUGCCGGGUUAGUAACUGAUAUGUGAAUGCCUUUGUAAACAAAUAUUUAUGAUUGUCGUUUAUGAAACCCAUUUUUUGGCGUCUUACAGGUAGCGUGUUAAUUGAUCUUCCCCCUCAAAGCAGUAUUAGGAGUUUCCAUAUUUCUAUUGGAUAAUCACAUGGUAAAUUCUAUCAUUUUUUUUAAUUGUAUUGCUUUUGGUGAUAAAUGGACAAGCCCGGCACAGAGUUGUACAGUGGUAUCCCAUUUCCUUCUAUGUUCUUUGAGCGUGAACGUGUUUUUACUUUAUUUUUUCUUUACCUUUCCAGAUUGUUGCAAUGGUAGCUUUCCUCGGGUUGCCACCUCUAUUCUCGGUCAAUCGACAAGAUAUGCAUCCGUUCCCGGUUGUAUUGUGAUCUUCCAAUUAGGUAUGUACUUAGAGCGGUAUUCUUUUCUGUAUUAAUUAAAUCGAAUGAUUUUCUUGCUUACCAUUUCAAUAUGAUUUUGUCAUUGUCUUACAUAUAGUUCGAGAGUUGGGACCGCAAUAUAAUUUUCUGCUCAGGUUUCUCAGACAUAAUAGAAAUAUCGAUACUAUAUCAUCAUCCUCGGCUAGGAAAAAAAAAUAAUGAAGCAAAAAGUUUAUGUGUGAAGUUUCAAAAAUUAUGUUAAAAACAUUAGCAAAACACUAAAAUGUAGAAAUUAUUUUAGCGAAGACUAUGUGUAAAGAAAUAUAUUUGAAAUUAUUACCCUUCCAUAUUUUAGUUAUUUCAAAAAUUUAGAUAGAAGUGACUAAUAAAAUCUUAUUCUUGCAUUCAAAUUUAAUUUAGAUGAAUUGGCUUAAAUAAUUGAUACAAUUAAUAUUCUACUUAAAACUACUUAAGGUUUCAUAUGAAGAACCUAUCUAUUUCGGAAUUCACAAUUUCUUCCAAAAAUUGAUUAGUGAUUAAUUUUUCUUUUAUAUUAUAUAGGCACUAUGAAAAAUGAUUUGUUGGAGGAAACAAUUAUUAAAAAUAUAUAAUAGACGUUCCAUAUUAAUUCAUAAUAUUAGUUCUGAAUUUAGCUUUUCCUAUAUUUAAUCAUGGCCUUAUAAUCUUUUGCAAUCUUAAAAACGGUUUUGCAAAUCAGAGAAUAUAAUAUAAAUCUAUAAUUUAUGCAUAAUUAAGAUGGUAAGGAAUUUAAAAUACAUAUUUAAUCAAUAUUUAUGUUGAUUGAAUAAAAAAUUGUAAGAUGGUAAGCAAACCAGGACUGGCCGUUUUCAACUCCCCGCUUCUAACAUCUUGCCACGCUCAGUGCAUGAUCCAAAGGCAAGUGCACAGCACCUCCGCAACCACGUUCAUCAGAGUA